GAGGGGUGAGAAAAAGUCGUAUAAAAGGCGAGAGAAAAGUCGAUAGGGAAUAGUCGUGUGAGCAUCUCCGACACGGCAACAACUUCAGUGCACUUUUGCAAUCAGCUCUCAGCUAUCUGCCAUCAUCAGUUUUUAAUCAUGGUUGUAUACAAGGAGAAAGAAAAGGCGAAAGAAAUCAGUCGAGUGAGCAUCUCCGAUAUGCAAUGAGUUGCGGUGCACAGCAGCAACUGCAGUGCACUAUUUUACACCAACUGCAUUCUUCGUCGAGGUGCUAGUUUUAAAUCAUGGUAAACUUUGGCGUCGCGUGCUGCUGUUGGGUGUUGUAUAGUUGACGGCUGGUUCAGCCAUGGUGUACCAAUGUCUCCUGGGUAUGGUGGACAACAAAUCGCAACGCCGCCACCUUACUACACAACAUACGACACGACCAGUUGCUUCACCAAGGCCCCCAAGUACUACACCACCAAGGCUUAACAUUAUUGUACCAAAACUUAUGCUGCCUGAGCUACUACACCGAAGCCCCGAAGCAUUAUUCUUCCCCGAGGUACACAACCAGAGGUUCGAGUACUACAGCGAUGCACCGGAGUACUGCACCACCAAGGCACCGGAGUACUGCACCACCACAUAUUUCAUGGUUCUUAGAAAAGAUGAAACAAAUCAGUCAUCUCCGACACGACAACAUCAAUUGCAGUGCCAAGGCUUAGUAUUACACCACAAUUUAUGUUGCCCCGAGACUCUACACCAAAGCGCCUAAGUGCUAUAUCGAGGUCACUAAUUACUACACCACCAAGGCACCGGAUUACUACACUAAACAUACGCUGCUCCAGCUUAUUACACCGAGGCUCCCCAACACUACACCGGAGUACUACUACAUAUCAUGGUCGUAUGAAAGGAGAGUAAAGGUGGAAGAAUUCAGCAACCGAGUGAGCAUUUCCGUUACAGCAACAGGAACUGCCGUGCACUAGUUGUCAUCAUCUUCAUUCUUCGUCGCGUUACAAGUGUUUAAUAAAGUCUAGUUAACUAUGGUGGCGUGCUGCUGUUGGGUGUUGUAUCGUUGAUGGCUGGGUCGACCACUGGUGUGUUGAUUUCUCCUGGGCAUGGCGGGCAUGAACAACAACAUACGCAACAACCGGUCACUACACUGAGGCCCCCAAGUUCUACACCACCAAGGCUCCAGAGUAUUACACCACAGUUUAUGUUGGUCCGAGCUAUUCGCAGAAGCUCCGAAGUAUUUUUCUUUCUUUUUUUCGCACCACCAGAGUACUACACCACGCAGGCACCACCAGAGUACUACACCACGCAGGCACCACCAGAGUACUACACCACGCAGGCACCACCAGAGUACUACACCACGCAGGCACCACCAGAGUACUACACCACGCAGGCACCACCAGAGUACUACACCACGCAGGCACCACCAGAGUACUACACCACGCAGGCACCACCAGAGUACUACACCACGCAGGCACCACCAGAGUACUACACCACGCAGGCACCACUAGAGUACUACACCACGCAGGCACCAUCAGAGUACUACACCACGCAGGCACUGGCAUGGUAAACCGAAGCUCCAGAUUACUACACUGCAACCUACGCUGCUCUAAAGUACUCUGAUGCUCCAAAGUACUACACCACCAAGGAAUCCGAGCAUACAACAAUAUUACGCUUCUACCACCUGCUACAUCGAAGCUCCGAAAUCAGUACUCUGCCUCGAGUUACCACACCACUAAGGCAGCCGAUAAUAUUACACUACGAUCCUGCAAUUUUCUACUAGGAAUUAUCUAAAUACUAAAGCCGAAAUUUCUACUUGAGGUUAUUUAUAUUUGUCGGUUAUUUACAUGGUCGAUGUGAAUGGCCACUGGGAACUAAUUGUUGAUCUUUAAUGACAAAAUAAAAUUCUUUAUGCGGAUAAA
This is a long non-coding RNA of Daphnia pulex (common water flea), 1910 nucleotides long. RefSeq lists it as uncharacterized. The record is from RefSeq and is a predicted model, not a curated record. Lineage: Eukaryota; Metazoa; Arthropoda; Branchiopoda; Diplostraca; Daphniidae. The transcript is spliced from 6 exons.